Molecule: ribosomal RNA, 663 nt
Filed under: uncultured Actinomycetes bacterium
Lineage: Bacteria; Bacillati; Actinomycetota; Actinomycetes
Description: bacterial SSU rRNA
Rfam family: Bacterial small subunit ribosomal RNA
Source: RNAcentral
CGCGGCCUAUCAGCUUGUUGGUGUGGUAACGGCGCACCAAGGCAACGAUGGGUAGCUGGUCUGAGAGGAUGGUCAGCCACAUUGGGACUGAGACACUGCCCAAACUCCUACGGGAGGCUGCAGUCGAGAAUAUUUCGCAAUGGGGGAAACCCUGACGAUGCGACGCCGCGUGGGGGAUGAAGGCCUUCGGGUCGUAAACCUCUGUGUUACGGGAUGAAUCGAGCGUUGCUGAUAACGCAGCGUUUUUGACGUUACCGUAGUAGAAAGCCCCAGCUAACUACGUGCCAGCAGCUGCGGUAAUACGUAGGGGGCAAGCGUUGUCCGGAAUCACUGGGCGUAAAGCGCGCGCAGGCGGUAGGGUAAGUCAGACGUGAAAGGGUUCGGCUCAACCGAGCCAUUGCGUUUGAUACUGCUUUACUUGAGUCUAGAAGAGGAAAGUGGAAUGUGUGGUGUAGCGGUGGAAUGCUUAGAUAUCAUAUAGAACACCCGUGGCGAAGGCGGCUUUCUGGUCUAAGACUGACGCUCAUGCGCGAAAGUUUGGGGAGCAACCGGGAUUAGAUACCCCGCUAGUCCUUACUGUAAACGAUGGGUACUAAGUGUAGGGGGUGUUGAUUCCCUCUGUGCUGUAGCUAACGCAUUAAGUACCCCGCCUGGGGAGUACGG